CUCAAUUUGUAGAAGAUGAAGAUUGUGCAGAAAAUCACAUCAAUCAUCACUGUGAUGAUGGUUGGAAAGGAUGUAAUAUUAUAUGCCAUUAUUGGACCUGAGCAACCUGUGGCUAAGGGAACAAUUGUUUCAACUAAUCCUAACACUUUGCUAGGAGGUGUGCCUCUUGGGAAAGAAUAUUGUGAAGUUAUUGUGAACAUUGUAUUGAAAAGGGAUGCCAUUUUGCCUUGUCCUUAUGGUUAUGUAGAGACGAUGGCUGAUGCUCAUCAAAUGUCAGUUGCUUGGCUUUAUAAGAGGAUGAAGAUUAGCAAGGCAUCAGGAUCACCCCAAGGUAUUGGAGGU
Molecule: long non-coding RNA, 342 nt
Organism: Zea mays
Lineage: Eukaryota; Viridiplantae; Streptophyta; Magnoliopsida; Poales; Poaceae
Exons: 3
Source: RefSeq, a predicted model, not a curated record